RNAcentral lists this long non-coding RNA (783 nucleotides) under Apteryx haastii (Great spotted kiwi). RNAcentral's name for it is "lncRNA (ENSAHAG00000019611.1)". Lineage: Eukaryota; Metazoa; Chordata; Aves; Apterygiformes; Apterygidae. The record is from RNAcentral.
AUGCUUCCCUACUGGGUCCUUGUGGUCAUCCUGGCUCCCCUGGGAUGGGCCCUGAAACAGUCCCCUGACACAGUGAGCAGAGUGGGGCAGUCUGUCAACCUGAGCUGUUCCCAAAUGGAGACUUCACAUUAUCAGAUGUACUGGUACAAACUGCCUGUGGAGAUGGAGUCCAAGCUUGAAUUGGUUGUUUUUGCACUCAAAGAUGUCAAGAUCCUGCCUCCCUUAAUGACUCUGGCACAUAUUACUGUGCUGAAAGUGAGACACAGUGACUCAGCUGCUGAGAGAGCUAAGCACAAAUCUCCAGUUCACAGAAGUACCUUCCUUCUUCCACAUGCAAACCUGGACUUGGAUUUUUCACAUUCUCUUCCAUUCCCCAUGCCUCGCAAUCAUCUUUUCUUCUCAGCAGUUUAUCCUGGCUCACUUCUUAUUUUCUUUUUCCCACUUUCUCAAGUGAGAAGUGUCUCAAGUGUACCAAACCUUUUUGCCUCUUGGUAUCUUGUUUUCGCUUACCGCUUUUGUCAAUAUCUUCCAGCCCCUCCUCUCACUCUCGUACUUCUUCUUUUCCCUUCUACCACUUUUCCAACCUCUUUCGUGACUUUCUUUCACCACCCUUCCCUACUUUCCCUGCCAUAUUUGCCACCUCCCUUCCCAUAUCUUUUGCCUUCUGGCCUAAUUCACUCCAUACUUUCCCUACAGAAAGGGGGUGUUUGGGUCUGGGUGUUUGGCCACAUAGCCCUUCCCCUCCCACUCAUGCCUCUGCUUUCACAAACUACUCCUUCCUGA